GCCCGAGUAGCUCAGACGGCAGAGCAACGCACUCGUAAUGCGUAGGUCAGGAGUUCGAUUCUCCUCUCGGGCUCCA
Molecule: transfer RNA, 76 nt
Filed under: Acidimicrobiales bacterium
Lineage: Bacteria; Bacillati; Actinomycetota; Acidimicrobiia; Acidimicrobiales
Also listed under: 3 other names
Description: tRNA-Thr
Rfam family: tRNA
About the family: Transfer RNA (tRNA) molecules are approximately 80 nucleotides in length.
Source: RNAcentral